This 1498-nucleotide ribosomal RNA is filed under the name Lactiplantibacillus pentosus. RNAcentral describes it as "bacterial SSU rRNA". It matches the Rfam family "Bacterial small subunit ribosomal RNA". The record is from RNAcentral. Lineage: Bacteria; Bacillati; Bacillota; Bacilli; Lactobacillales; Lactobacillaceae.
CCGGCUCAGGACGAACGCUGGCGGCGUGCCUAAUACAUGCAAGUCGAACGAACUCUGGUAUUGAUUGGUGCUUGCAUCAUGAUUUACAUUUGAGUGAGUGGCGAACUGGUGAGUAACACGUGGGAAACCUGCCCAGAAGCGGGGGAUAACACCUGGAAACAGAUGCUAAUACCGCAUAACAACUUGGACCGCAUGGUCCGAGUUUGAAAGAUGGCUUCGGCUAUCACUUUUGGAUGGUCCCGCGGCGUAUUAGCUAGAUGGUGAGGUAACGGCUCACCAUGGCAAUGAUACGUAGCCGACCUGAGAGGGUAAUCGGCCACAUUGGGACUGAGACACGGCCCAAACUCCUACGGGAGGCAGCAGUAGGGAAUCUUCCACAAUGGACGAAAGUCUGAUGGAGCAACGCCGCGUGAGUGAAGAAGGGUUUCGGCUCGUAAAACUCUGUUGUUUAAGAAGAACAUAUCUGAGAGUAACUGUUCAGGUAUUGACGGUAUUUAACCAGAAAGUCACGGCUAACUACGUGCCAGCAGCCGCGGUAAUACGUAGGUGGCAAGCGUUGUCCGGAUUUAUUGGGCGUAAAGCGAGCGCAGGCGGUUUUUUAAGUCUGAUGUGAAAGCCUUCGGCUCAACCGAAGAAGUGCAUCGGAAACUGGGAAACUUGAGUGCAGAAGAGGACAGUGGAACUCCAUGUGUAGCGGUGAAAUGCGUAGAUAUAUGGAAGAACACCAGUGGCGAAGGCGGCUGUCUGGUCUGUAACUGACGCUGAGGCUCGAAAGUAUGGGUAGCAAACAGGAUUAGAUACCCUGGUAGUCCAUACCGUAAACGAUGAAUGCUAAGUGUUGGAGGGUUUCCGCCCUUCAGUGCUGCAGCUAACGCAUUAAGCAUUCCGCCUGGGGAGUACGGCUGCAAGGCUGAAACUCAAAGGAAUUGACGGGGGCCCGCACAGGCGGUGGAGCAUGUGGUUUAAUUCGAAGCUACGCGAAGAACCUUACCAGGUCUUGACAUACUAUGCAAAUCUAAGAGAUUAGACGUUCCCUUCGGGGACAUGGAUACAGGUGGUGCAUGGUUGUCGUCAGCUCGUGUCGUGAGAUGUUGGGUUAAGUCCCGCAACGAGCGCAACCCUUAUUAUCAGUUGCCAGCAUUAAGUUGGGCACUCUGGUGAGACUGCCGGUGACAAACCGGAGGAAGGUGGGGAUGACGUCAAAUCAUCAUGCCCCUUAUGACCUGGGCUACACACGUGCUACAAUGGAUGGUACAACGAGUUGCGAACUCACGAGAGUAAGCUAAUCUCUUAAAGCCAUUCUCAGUUCGGAUUGUAGGCUGCAACUCGCCUACAUGAAGUCGGAAUCGCUAGUAAUCGCGGAUCAGCAUGCCGCGGUGAAUACGUUCCCGGGCCUUGUACACACCGCCCGUCACACCAUGAGAGUUUGUAACACCCAAAGUCGGUGGGGUAACCUUUUAGGAACCAGCCGCCUAAGGUGGGACAGAUGAUUAGGGUG